Molecule: long non-coding RNA, 353 nt
Organism: Alosa sapidissima (American shad)
Lineage: Eukaryota; Metazoa; Chordata; Actinopteri; Clupeiformes; Clupeidae
Exons: 3
Source: RefSeq, a predicted model, not a curated record
UUUUGUUUUCACAGACUAACUUUGCCUCUUAAUGGGGUCGUGACCUCCUCUUUGCUCAGAGCUGUCUGCAAGUCAUUCAAGCAAUUAGGUAAACUCUAGGUUGCUGUCCAUAGAGGACCGGUUGGCUGCUCUGGAGUCGAAAAACUGUGCGGGAGAGACAAACUUUAAGAAGAGAAGACUGGUGCACAAUCCCAAGCUUGCGGAAGCAGUACGCCGUCUUCACAACUCGGAGACAAAUUGCAGGCGCUACGAACCGGAGCAAGGACUAAUCUCGCCUCAUAAUGAGGCGGUGACCUCCUAUUUGCUCGGAGCAAUAUCUGCAAGUCCAGAUUUACACGAUGUUGAUAAAGACA